Long non-coding RNA from Gasterosteus aculeatus aculeatus (three-spined stickleback), 1939 nucleotides. The record is from Ensembl. NCBI's taxonomy places the organism in Eukaryota, Metazoa, Chordata, Actinopteri, Perciformes, Gasterosteidae.
UGUGACAAGUAGAAAGAACACACAAACACACACACACACACACAUGUAGAGUGAGUGCAUGGAGAGAGUUAGUGGAUGGCGGAGAGAGGAGAAUUAAAUGAGCUUUGGGAAAAAGAUUAUAAAAGAUUAUAGUUUAGGGCCGCUGCUUGGCGCCGCCUGGUGUUUCAAAGCUGCUAAUGCGCCGACAAACAAAGACUGUCCGACCGGGUUGGUGGUCUUCAUUUACUGACGGUUACUGACAUGUAAAUACACAGUGAAUGGUAAAAGAAUAUAACCUGCAGAUUGGAGAUAAAGGACACAAGGAAGUGUUUUUUAAUAUUGAUUCAAAUGGGCGGAAAGAAAAGAAUUAUUCUACAUAGAACUAUAGAAUUAAAACUACAAAAAUACGUUAAAGAAACCCACAUUUAAUCAAAUUAAUAAUGUAUUUAUUUCUGUGAUUUGAUAUAUUUAUAUGGAAGUUAAUGUGUAAUAUUUUAUGUCAUAUUGAAACUAAUAUGAAGAGGUUGAAGCUGAAAUUGUUGCAAACUAUUAGUAAUCAUAUAUUUUCUUAACAAAAGAGAAAAAAAAUGUUCUUUUAACUAUUUGGGGAAGAUAAACUGUCCCUCUUUUUUUCCCUCUUGGACUCAGACGGUUUCACAUUUGUGUCCUUUCAUUUCUGCAACGUCUCAAAGUGGAGAAAAAAAAGUUCCCUUGAAGCUUUAUUUCCCUGCAGGAACGUGGAUGUUACUGUCCUGGUGACCAUGGCAACAGCUGUGAUGACACCUACACCAUGACCCUCUUUACCGUUGCCAAGCAUGUGUCCAUUAGAUUCAAAAUAAGCAAGACAGAGGCGAGACAGAGGGGAGAGAGUAGGGACAGAGGGGAGACAUAGGGGAGGAAAGAGAGGGAGAUGAGAGGGGACAGAGGUGAAAAAUAAAAAGAAAAGCCGUGAGCCCUUUUCUGCAUCAGGAGGGGAAAAUCUGAUUUUUAUGAACUUCAGAUUGAAUGUCAAACAGAAUGGAAUAAUGGAGGAAGAGUAAAAUAAAUUCAAGUGCAAUGUAUAUUUAUGCACGCUUAGCAGUUUCUUACAUUUGUAUUUUUAAGUGUGAAACGAAUGAUACAUAAAUAUGCAUACGUAAUACUGAUUAGAUCUUGGUCUGAUGUCAUUAACCUCCGUGAUGGUACAGCCCGUGGAUCCAAACUGUCCCAGCACAUCAUUUCUCAUGACAUCACUAAAAUACGACAGGAUUUUAUUUUUAAAAGCCUGAAGUGGCAAACGAUCCCCAGGAGAGGGCAGAAGCAGUCAAGCUUCGAACAGGCCGAGUUGCCGUCUCCUGGUCCGGGAUCGAUCGGGCCUCCUCUCUGGUAAAGGUCCAAAUGUAGAAAACAUUGGAAUUCAAAGGGUGGAGGUGAGAAAGGGAUCGAUGAUUAAUACCCUGGUCAUCAAUAGUCUCUUCACUGGAAAAACAGCCUCAAUCAAACGUGUGUAGAGUUUUGAGCUGGACAGGUGGAUUUCGUUGUGCAUCUCAGCUGCAUAAUGACAGUGAGUGACCUGCGAAACUUAAGGUACAACAUCUGGAUUCAAUGGCAGAAAAUACAGACAAAAUGAACCCAUUCAACUGUGCAAAAUGACCAAUUGCAGAAUCACAUCUGCCUGUUGGCCAUAGCCUCUAUGGUUAAUGGUCGUGGUUGAUGGUCCCUGGUUCCUUCUCAUGUUAAUGUUAAUGGACCAUAGAUCAUGGUCAUAGUUUGUUCCCCAUGGUUCAUGUUCAUGGUACAUCUUCAUGCUUCAUGCCCCAAGGUUCAUGUUCACGGUCCAUCAUUUCAUGGCCCUGGUUCAUCCUCACUUGUCACGGUCCAUUUUCGUGGUUCACCCUCACGGUGCCCGUAGAUUCGUGUGCAGUGUUGGAGCUGCAGCGGUGAAUUCGGAAAGAAGCUCGCGCGUGCCAGCCCCCCCCCC